Long non-coding RNA from Oncorhynchus keta (chum salmon), 840 nucleotides. RefSeq lists it as uncharacterized. The record is from RefSeq and is a predicted model, not a curated record. NCBI's taxonomy places the organism in Eukaryota, Metazoa, Chordata, Actinopteri, Salmoniformes, Salmonidae. The transcript is spliced from 3 exons.
AGACGAGUGAGAGAGGGAAAAAUUAAUUAAGGAAAACACAGACCAACAGGAACAUCGAAACGUGUGUGUGUGUGUGUGUGUCUGUGUGAACAUUGGCUAAUAGAAGCUGUGGUCACUAACACACAGGUGACAGACCGAGGUUCAAAUAGGAUUGAAGUUCCUGAUGGGAGGGGUUUGCACUCCUGAGAAUAUCCCAUUGGUUCCAUUAAGAAAUGUCAGCUCAAUCAAGUUGAAGUAUUUAUUUAAAAUACUAAUAUUAGAAGGAAGAAAAACUACCACCAUAUUCCACCUGCCUUCCCAAACACUUCCUCUUUUCUGACUAGGACUGGUGUAGCUGAUAGCUGCUUUAUAGAGGGAUGUUCUACUUACAGUGAUAUGUGGUUGUCUAACCUAGCUAACGUAAAUUCAUAUAAUAAUAAUGAAUGCCAUUUAGCAGACACUUUUAUGCAAAGCCACUUAUGUGUGCAUAUACAGUAUUUUAUAUAUGGGUGGUCCCGGGAAUCAAACCCUGAAUCCUGGCAAAAGAAGUGCCAUGCUCUCACCAACUGAGCAAUACAGUUUAAUUGUUGAAUGCACUGACUGUCAGCUAAAUUACCAAAAUGUACAUCUAAACAACAACAGAGUUGUCUCUUGAUUUCUGUAGAGGUUCUGUCUGUAACAGUGUUUGUAGAGAGCUCAGUAAGGUUGUAUCAUGGUUUCUGUAGAGGUUCUGUCUGUAACAGUGUUUGUAGAGAGCUCAGUAAGGUUGUAUCAUGGUUUCUGUAGAGGUUCUGUCUGUAACAGUGUUUGUAGAGAGCUCAGUAAGGUUGUAUCAUGGUUUCUGUAGAGGUUCUGUCUGUA